RNAcentral lists this ribosomal RNA (666 nucleotides) under fungal sp. 212g. RNAcentral's name for it is "eukaryotic LSU rRNA". The stretch from base 254 to 407 matches the Rfam family "5.8S ribosomal RNA". The record is from RNAcentral. Lineage: Eukaryota; Fungi.
CUUGGUCANUUAGAGGAAGUAAAAGUCGUAACAARGKUUCCGUAGGUGAACCUGCGGAAGGAUCAUUAACGAGUUUUGAAACGAGUUGUAGCUGGCCUUCCGAGGCAUGUGCACGCUCUGCUCAUCCACUCUACCCCUGUGCACUUACUGUAGGUUGGCGUGGGCUCCUUAACGGGAGCAUUCUGCCGGCCUAUGUAUACUACAAACACUUUAAAGUAUCAGAAUGUAAACGCGUCUAACGCAUCUAUAAUACAACUUUUAGCAACGGAUCUCUUGGCUCUCGCAUCGAUGAAGAACGCAGCGAAAUGCGAUAAGUAAUGUGAAUUGCAGAAUUCAGUGAAUCAUCGAAUCUUUGAACGCACCUUGCGCUCCUUGGUAUUCCGAGGAGCAUGCCUGUUUGAGUGUCAUGGAAUUCUCAACUUAUAAAUCCUUGUGAUCUAUAAGCUUGGACUUGGAGGCUUGCUGGCCCUUGUUGGUCGGCUCCUCUUGAAUGCAUUAGCUCGAUUCCGUACGGAUCGGCUCUCAGUGUGAUAAUUGUCUACGCUGUGACCGUGAAGUGUUUUGGCGAGCUUCUAACCGUCCAUUAGGACAACUUUUUAACCAUCUGACCUCAAAUCCAGGUAGGANCYCACCCGCUGAACUUAAGCAUAUCAAUAAGGCGGAGGA